This 1640-nucleotide ribosomal RNA is filed under the name Salmonella enterica. RNAcentral describes it as "partial 23S ribosomal RNA". It matches the Rfam family "Bacterial large subunit ribosomal RNA", at positions 711 to 2332 of the family's 2925-position model. RNAcentral also lists the same sequence under 1 other name. Lineage: Bacteria; Pseudomonadati; Pseudomonadota; Gammaproteobacteria; Enterobacterales; Enterobacteriaceae. The record is from RNAcentral.
AGACCCGAAACCCGGUGAUCUAGCCAUGGGCAGGUUGAAGGUUGGGUAACACUAACUGGAGGACCGAACCGACUAAUGUUGAAAAAUUAGCGGAUGACCUGUGGCUGGGGGUGAAAGGCCAAUCAAACCGGGAGAUAGCUGGUUCUCCCCGAAAGCUAUUUAGGUAGCGCCUCGUGAAUUCAUCUCCGGGGGUAGAGCACUGUUUCGGCUAGGGGGCCAUCCCGGCUUACCAACCCGAUGCAAACUGCGAAUACCGGAGAAUGUUAUCACGGGAGACACACGGCGGGUGCUAACGUCCGUCGUGAAGAGGGAAACAACCCAGACCGCCAGCUAAGGUCCCAAAGUCAUGGUUAAGUGGGAAACGAUGUGGGAAGGCCCAGACAGCCAGGAUGUUGGCUUAGAAGCAGCCAUCAUUUAAAGAAAGCGUAAUAGCUCACUGGUCGAGUCGGCCUGCGCGGAAGAUGUAACGGGGCUAAACCAUGCACCGAAGCUGCGGCAGCGACACUGUGUGUUGUUGGGUAGGGGAGCGUUCUGUAAGCCUGUGAAGGUGUGUCGUGAGGCAUGCUGGAGGUAUCAGAAGUGCGAAUGCUGACAUAAGUAACGAUAAAGCGGGUGAAAAGCCCGCUCGCCGGAAGACCAAGGGUUCCUGUCCAACGUUAAUCGGGGCAGGGUGAGUCGACCCCUAAGGCGAGGCCGAAAGGCGUAGUCGAUGGGAAACGGGUUAAUAUUCCCGUACUUGGUGUUACUGCGAAGGGGGGACGGAGAAGGCUAUGUUGGCCGGGCGACGGUUGUCCCGGUUUAAGCGUGUAGGUGUGUGUUCCAGGUAAAUCCGGUUCACUUUAACACUGAGGCGUGACGACGAGGCACUACGGUGCUGAAGCAACAAAUGCCCUGCUUCCAGGAAAAGCCUCUAAGCAUCAGGUAACAUCAAAUCGUACCCCAAACCGACACAGGUGGUCAGGUAGAGAAUACCAAGGCGCUUGAGAGAACUCGGGUGAAGGAACUAGGCAAAAUGGUGCCGUAACUUCGGGAGAAGGCACGCUGACACGUAGGUGAAGUGAUUUACUCAUGGAGCUGAAGUCAGUCGAAGAUACCAGCUGGCUGCAACUGUUUAUUAAAAACACAGCACUGUGCAAACACGAAAGUGGACGUAUACGGUGUGACGCCUGCCCGGUGCCGGAAGGUUAAUUGAUGGGGUCAGCGCAAGCGAAGCUCCUGAUCGAAGCCCCGGUAAACGGCGGCCGUAACUAUAACGGUCCUAAGGUAGCGAAAUUCCUUGUCGGGUAAGUUCCGACCUGCACGAAUGGCGUAAUGAUGGCCAGGCUGUCUCCACCCGAGACUCAGUGAAAUUGAACUCGCUGUGAAGAUGCAGUGUACCCGCGGCAAGACGGAAAGACCCCGUGAACCUUUACUAUAGCUUGACACUGAACAUUGAGCCUUGAUGUGUAGGAUAGGUGGGAGGCUUUGAAGUGUGGACGCCAGUCUGCAUGGAGCCGACCUUGAAAUACCACCCUUUAAUGUUUGAUGUUCUAACGUGGACCCGUUACCCGGGUUGCGGACAGUGUCUGGUGGGUAGUUUGACUGGGGCGGUCUCCUCCUAAAGAGUAACGGAGGAGCACGAAGGUUGGCUAAUCCUGGUC